This 113-nucleotide ribosomal RNA is filed under the name Erinaceus europaeus (western European hedgehog). Lineage: Eukaryota; Metazoa; Chordata; Mammalia; Eulipotyphla; Erinaceidae. The record is from RNAcentral.
GUCUAUGGCCAUACCACCCUGAACACGCCCGAUCUCGUCUGAUCUCAGAAGCUAAGCAGGGUCGGGCCUGGUUAGUACUUGGAUGGGAGACCAAAUAUGAGGUGUUUUAUGUU